GAUGAACGCUGGCGGCGUGCCUAAUACAUGCAAGUCGAGCGAACAGAUGAGGAGCUUGCUCCUCUGACGUUAGCGGCGGACGGGUGAGUAACACGUGGAUAACCUACCUAUAAGACUGGGAUAACUUCGGGAAACCGGAGCUAAUACCGGAUAAUAUAUUGAACCGCAUGGUUCAAUAGUGAAAGACGGUUUUGCUGUCACUUAUAGAUGGAUCCGCGCCGCAUUAGCUAGUUGGUAAGGUAACGGCUUACCAAGGCAACGAUGCGUAGCCGACCUGAGAGGGUGAUCGGCCACACUGGAACUGAGACACGGUCCAGACUCCUACGGGAGGCAGCAGUAGGGAAUCUUCCGCAAUGGGCGAAAGCCUGACGGAGCAACGCCGCGUGAGUGAUGAAGGUCUUCGAAUCGUAAAACUCUGUUAUUAGGGAAGAACAAAUGUGUAAGUAACUAUGCACGUCUUGACGGUACCUAAUCAGAAAGCCACGGCGAACUACGU
This 496-nucleotide ribosomal RNA is filed under the name uncultured bacterium. Its description in RNAcentral is "partial 16S ribosomal RNA". It matches the Rfam family "Bacterial small subunit ribosomal RNA", at positions 28 to 506 of the family's 1533-position model. The record is from RNAcentral.